This is a small nucleolar RNA of Erinaceus europaeus (western European hedgehog), 97 nucleotides long. Its record names the gene SNORD22. It matches the Rfam family "Small nucleolar RNA SNORD22". Rfam says of the family: U22 is a member of the C/D class of snoRNA which contain the C (UGAUGA) and D (CUGA) box motifs. U22 is encoded within the U22 snoRNA host gene (UHG) in mammals and has also been identified in Xenopus. U22 is thought to as a 2'-O-ribose methylation guide for ribosomal RNA. The record is from Ensembl. Lineage: Eukaryota; Metazoa; Chordata; Mammalia; Eulipotyphla; Erinaceidae.
UCCCAAUAAAGAAACUUUUCACAUGUCUUACCUCCUGUCCCAGUAUCAGAGCCUAUAAUGGUGAGCCCACUAGCAUUGGCUGGGGAAAAUUCAGGAG